GUGCUGCAGGAAGUGGCUCUGUGGGCAGCAGGAUUCGCUUCUCUCACUCAGACCCCGCCACGAAGACGGGUCCCUGGCAGAGGAGCGGUGUUUCUGGCAAAACGGAGGACAAGCAGCACUGAAACACGCUAAGGAUCCUGAUCAGCCAAAGUGUCUCACACCUCUGCAGGGAAGAAAUCUUUCUGGAGGCUCAGUAAUUUUUUGGUGCAAGGGCUGACCAAGCUGUGGAGUUUCUCUCCUGCGUCAGCAUCCCUGUGGAAAAAUCCAGCGUUGGGGAAGUGAAGAUGGGAGUUUGCACUUGCAACCAUCCGACUCCUUGUCUUUAUGGCUGGACACUACUACCUGAUGAGAACCGGACAUUUAGGAGGGAGAAAUGUAACUUUCCUGUCAAGUUUUGCUCCUUCAGAAAGGAUCCUGCUUUUUUAGUCAAUUAAGUCAGUGAAACAAGUUGUUCCAUGGGACUAAUGAAACUGGAUUUUCACAAAUCUAUACUCCAUCCUCUUUCCUCUCACUCACCCUACACCAAUAACCUCAUUUCCCCUGUGACUUUUCCGUUCCUCCGACACUGUAAUUUCCCCAGUAAAUCCCCUCAAUAACCAUGAAGGUCUAGCAGCCACCUGUCACAUCUCCCAGCCACGGGAUGAGGAAGAGGGUGCACAUAAUACCUGAGCUCACCGUGCCACCCUUCCUCUAACACCUGUGCUGAUUUCCUCCGUACAUCUGCCAAUUUUUAUAAAAUAUGUGGGAAUGCCGUAUAUCUGUUAUGAUUCAUUUUCCAUCUCUGGCCUUGUUUUCCCAUUUGUGUCUCCUACUAAUGCUAAACAAGAUACAGAUGGAUACAGCUUCAUUUUCCAUCUUGUUUUCCCAUUCCUAUGUCCUACUAAUGCUAAACAUGACUUGAUACUGAUGGAUAUGGCACCAAAAUCGACAUUGGUAGUAAAAAUUGACAUUGGUAGUAGGGUGAUGGUUGGACCUAAUGAUCUUGAA
This is a long non-coding RNA of Cygnus atratus (black swan), 987 nucleotides long. RefSeq lists it as uncharacterized. The record is from RefSeq and is a predicted model, not a curated record. NCBI's taxonomy places the organism in Eukaryota, Metazoa, Chordata, Aves, Anseriformes, Anatidae. The transcript has 3 exons.